Leopardus geoffroyi (Geoffroy's cat) is the source of this 954-nucleotide long non-coding RNA. RefSeq lists it as uncharacterized. The transcript has 2 exons. The record is from RefSeq and is a predicted model, not a curated record. Lineage: Eukaryota; Metazoa; Chordata; Mammalia; Carnivora; Felidae.
CGGCGGGGCUCGAACUCACGAGCUGUGAGGUCUUGACCUGAGCUGAAGUCAGAUGCUUAACCGACUGAGCCACCCAGGUGUCCCCCUGCCCCUUCUUUCUUAAUCCCACGCCAGUCAGGCUUCUGCAUGUCCCUGUACGCCCGACCCUGUCUUGUGCAGAUCUCCAGGAUGCUGUCACACGCAGUGAGCAUUCUAGGGCCUCAUCGCCCUGGACCAUCAGCAGCACCCCGGGGAGCUGAUCACCUCCCGCCCUAGUCCAGACUCUUUCUGGAACUGCAGAUUCCUUGUCCACCUGCUGACGAGACACUCCCACUGAGGCGACGUCUCUGGCACAGUAGGCCCGCAGUCAGUGGCCACCGCCACCUCCAGACCUUCUCUCCCACAUCUCCCUGGGUGCAGGGAGGGCCUGGCAGUGCUGCCCUUCCCGGUGCUCAAGUGCUCAGGCUCACGGCGUCUCCCUGGCUCCUCUCGACCCUGCGUCCCAACCGCCCGCAGCCCUGUUGCGGACGGCCUCGCAGGCCUUGCAGACAGGCCCCCAGUAUGCUGCUCGUGCCCUGUCCGGCUUCCUGGGCUCUGCUGCAGCCUUGUCCCUAGCCUCCUUCCUAGCAGCCCCACCCGCCUGUCCCUCGGGAGGUGACCUGCUCUGUUGGGUGCAGUGUGUGUUUGGGCCUUCUUGGGGAAUCUCUGCGCUGGCCACUUCCCACUCACCUUCCCUGCUCUUGGCCUUCCUCUCCAGUUACCCUUUCUCCCGGCUUUGUCACCUUCUCUACCCCCAUUCCUGGAACAGCGCCGGGCGCAGACCCUCACAACAAAUACUCGCCCGAGGAAGCAGCUCGAGGUGGGAAGGCUCCCCCCGCUUGCAGCCCCAGCACCCCUGACCCGACCCCACUACCCCUCGCGACAAGCAGAGGUGGAACCAGAGCCGGCUUUGGAAAAUGACAUGUUUUAUUGCUA